This 252-nucleotide ribosomal RNA is filed under the name uncultured bacterium. RNAcentral's name for it is "partial 16S ribosomal RNA". It matches the Rfam family "Bacterial small subunit ribosomal RNA", at positions 524 to 776 of the family's 1533-position model. The record is from RNAcentral.
UACGUAGGGGGCUAGCGUUAUCCGGAAUUACUGGGCGUAAAGGGUGCGUAGGUGGUUUCUUAAGUCAGAGGUGAAAGGCUACGGCCCAACCGUAGUAAGCCUUUGAAACUGGGGAACUUGAGUGCAGGAGAGGAGAGUGGAAUUCCUAGUGUAGCGGUGAAAUGCGUAGAUAUUAGGAGGAACACCAGUUGCGAAGGCGGCUCUCUGGACUGUAACUGACACUGAGGCACGAAAGCGUGGGGAGCAAACAGG